Melanotaenia boesemani (Boeseman's rainbowfish) is the source of this 222-nucleotide long non-coding RNA. RefSeq lists it as uncharacterized. The transcript has 3 exons. The record is from RefSeq and is a predicted model, not a curated record. NCBI's taxonomy places the organism in Eukaryota, Metazoa, Chordata, Actinopteri, Atheriniformes, Melanotaeniidae.
GCUUGGAAAACCACAGUGACCGCACACAAUGUCCGUCUGAUGCUCAUGAAACUGAGAAUGUGCAACACCUUCCUCAAGUUCCGGAAGUGGCAACUAUUGAGAAGGACCAGAGAUAGGCUAGCUGCUGUCAUCAAUAGGGAGCCCAUUGAUUUAACAUAUCUAAACUUCAUCACCUGCCAGGAACUGCAGCUUUUACGGGCAGGAACAGCUGAUGUGGAUAUU